GCACUAGUAGCUCAGCGCUAGAGCGUCGGUCUUGUAAGCCGAAUGUCGGAGGUUAAAAUCCUCCCUACUGCU
Molecule: transfer RNA, 72 nt
Filed under: Seriola zonata (banded rudderfish)
Lineage: Eukaryota; Metazoa; Chordata; Actinopteri; Carangiformes; Carangidae
Description: tRNA-Thr
Rfam family: tRNA
About the family: Transfer RNA (tRNA) molecules are approximately 80 nucleotides in length. Their secondary structure includes four short double-helical elements and three loops (D, anti-codon, and T loops).
Source: RNAcentral